Molecule: ribosomal RNA, 497 nt
Filed under: uncultured bacterium
Lineage: Bacteria
Description: partial 16S ribosomal RNA
Rfam family: Bacterial small subunit ribosomal RNA
Source: RNAcentral
GAUGAACGCUGGCGGCGUGCCUAAUACAUGCAAGUCGAGCGAACAGACGAGGAGCUUGCUCCUCUGACGUUAGCGGCGGACGGGUGAGUAACACGUGGAUAACCUACCUAUAAGACUGGGAUAACUUCGGGAAACCGGAGCUAAUACCGGAUAAUAUAUUGAACCGCAUGGUUCAAUAGUGAAAGACGGUUUUGCUGUCACUUAUAGAUGGAUCCGCGCCGCAUUAGCUAGUUGGUAAGGUAACGGCUUACGAAGGCAACGAUGCGUAGCCGACCUGACAGGGUGAUCGGCCACACUGGAACUGAGACACGGUCCAGACUCCUACGAGAGGCAGCAGUAGGGAAUCUUCCGCAAUGGGCGAAAGCUUGACGGAGCAACGCCGCGUGAGUGAUGAAGGUCUUCGGAUCGUAAAACUCUGUUAUUAGGGAAGAACAAAUGUGUAAGUAACUAUGCACGUCUUGACGGUACCUAAUCAGAAAGCCACGGCUAACUACGUG